This 445-nucleotide ribosomal RNA is filed under the name uncultured bacterium. RNAcentral describes it as "bacterial SSU rRNA". It matches the Rfam family "Bacterial small subunit ribosomal RNA", at positions 330 to 792 of the family's 1533-position model. The record is from RNAcentral.
GCCAGACUCCUACGGGAGGCAGCAGUGGGGAAUAUUGCACAAUGGGGGAAACCCUGAUGCAGCGACGCCGCGUGGGUGAAGAAGUAUUUCGGUAUGUAAAGCCCUAUCAGCAGGGAAGAAAAUGACGGUACCUGACUAAGAAGCCCCGGCUAACUACGUGCCAGCAGCCGCGGUAAUACGUAGGGGGCAAGCGUUAUCCGGAUUUACUGGGUGUAAAGGGAGCGUAGGUGGCGUGCCAAGUCAGGAGUGAAAACCCAGGGCCCAACCUUGGGACUGCUCUUGAAACUGGCAGGCUUGAGUGCUGGAGAGGUAAGCGGAAUUCCUAGUGUAGCGGUGAAAUGCGUAGAUAUUAGGAGGAACACCGGUGGCGAAGGCGGCCUGCUGGACGAUGACUGACGCUGAGGCUCGAAAGCGUGGGGAGCAAACAGGAUUAGAUACCCGAGUA